GUAACAAGGUUUCCGUAGGUGUAACCUGCGGAAGGAUCAUUACCGAGUGUAGGGUUCCUAGCGAGCCCAACCUCCCACCCGUGUUUACUGUACCUUAGUUGCUUCGGCGGGCCCGCCAUUCAUGGCCGCCGGGGGCUCUCAGCCCCGGGCCCGCGCCCGCCGGAGACACCACGAACUCUGUCUGAUCUAGUGAAGUCUGAGUUGAUUGUAUCGCAAUCAGUUAAAACUUUCAACAAUGGAUCUCUUGGUUCCGGCAUCGAUGAAGAACGCAGCGAAAUGCGAUAACUAGUGUGAAUUGCAGAAUUCCGUGAAUCAUCGAGUCUUUGAACGCACAUUGCGCCCCCUGGUAUUCCGGGGGGCAUGCCUGUCCGAGCGUCAUUGCUGCCCAUCAAGCACGGCUUGUGUGUUGGGUCGUCGUCCCCUCUCCGGGGGGGACGGGCCCCAAAGGCAGCGGCGGCACCGCGUCCGAUCCUCGAGCGUAUGGGGCUUUGUCACCCGCUCUGUAGGCCCGGCCGGCGCUUGCCGAACGCAAAUCAAUCUUUUUCCAGGUUGACCUCGGAUCAGGUAGGGAUACCCGCUGAACCUAAGCAUAUCA
Molecule: unclassified non-coding RNA, 595 nt
Filed under: Aspergillus flavus
Lineage: Eukaryota; Fungi; Ascomycota; Eurotiomycetes; Eurotiales; Aspergillaceae
Description: sequence contains 18S rRNA gene, ITS1, 5.8S rRNA gene, ITS2, 28S rRNA gene
Rfam family: 5.8S ribosomal RNA (bases 225-378)
Source: RNAcentral